UACGAGGGGUGCAAGCGUUGCUCGGAAUUAUUGGGCGUAAAGGGUAGGUAGGUGGUCUCAUUUGUCUAGGGUGAAAGCCUUGAGCUUAACUCAAGAAGUGCCCUAGAAACGGUGAGACUGGAGUCUUGGAGAGGGUCGUGGAAUUCCCGGUGUAGCGGUGAAAUGCGCAGAUAUCGGGAGGAACACCGGUGGCGAAGGCGGUUCUCUGGGCCUUACCUGACGCUGAGGAGCGAAAGCGUGGGGAGCGAACAGG
This 253-nucleotide ribosomal RNA is filed under the name uncultured bacterium. Its description in RNAcentral is "partial 16S ribosomal RNA". It matches the Rfam family "Bacterial small subunit ribosomal RNA", at positions 524 to 776 of the family's 1533-position model. The record is from RNAcentral.